AGUAAGCAAUAUGACUGGAUACAUACUACAGCACCGUUUAUUACAAGCACACAAAGAAGGAACCUGGUAGCUACUCAGGAAGACAAUUGUACGGACCUCUGUGUCAGAAGUAGAAAAGGAGACAACAAGACAGAUUCACCGCAGAUUGUCAACAAUCCCCAUGAGGACUACAACCAAUUACUUGUGACAGAGCACAGGAAGAUGCUUCAAAUUAUAUGAAGGAACAUUUGGUAAAAGGAAAUCGGGGAGCCUUGUGUGCCAGGUUCUUUUGAAGACCCUGAACUGGACUUACACUCUGACUUCAGUUCUUUGAGGGAAUGGGACCCGCUCUCUGGGCCUCACGACUGGCCGCUUUUCAAUAUGCCAAGGACACGGCCUAGAAGACUAGCAUGCCUUCAGGGUGCCAGAUUUUCGUGGCUCUGGGAGUGGGUGGACUCGAGGUCAGUGCCACCGUGGAAAACUGAUGUGUCGUGGGAGCACACGGAAGAUCGAAAGUAGUGAGCUGGCUGCUGGCUGUGUGCCCGGAGACCCGAUAUCUUUGGGCACAGAGCUCGGAAGAAGCAACGCAACAGACUUCCAACACCAUAAAUUGGCAAGCUGUUUUGUUAUGUGUCCCCUCUCAUUGUGAAACAGGGAUAAUUCUUUCUGCCUUAUUAGGGAGAGAAAGAACCUGUGGUAUGUCGAAUACCAGGUGAACCAGUAGUCUUUGGGGUACUACAAGUCUGUGUCUUUGCUGAUGCUUUGCUGCAUGCUUGAGUACUC
This is a long non-coding RNA of Mobula hypostoma (lesser devil ray), 762 nucleotides long. RefSeq lists it as uncharacterized. The transcript is spliced from 3 exons. NCBI's taxonomy places the organism in Eukaryota, Metazoa, Chordata, Chondrichthyes, Myliobatiformes, Myliobatidae. The record is from RefSeq and is a predicted model, not a curated record.